Molecule: ribosomal RNA, 267 nt
Filed under: uncultured Nitrososphaerota archaeon
Lineage: Archaea; Thermoproteati; Nitrososphaerota
Description: uncultured thaumarchaeote partial 16S ribosomal RNA
Rfam family: Archaeal small subunit ribosomal RNA
Source: RNAcentral
GCGAGAAAACUUUAGUCAAUAGUGCGAAAAGACACGACAAGGUUAAUACCGAGUGGUUUUCUUGCUAAAGGAAACCUUUUGUUCGGUCCUAGAAACAACCGAUGAAUAAAGGGGUGGGGCAAGUUCUGGUGUCAGCCGCCGCGGUAAAACCAGCACCUCAAGUGGUCAGGAUGAUUAUUGGGCCUAAAGCAUCCGUAGCCGGCUCUGUUAGUUUUCGGUUAAAUCUGUACGCUCAACGUACAGGCUGCCGGGAAUACUGCAGAGCUA